Molecule: long non-coding RNA, 1003 nt
Organism: Helianthus annuus (common sunflower)
Lineage: Eukaryota; Viridiplantae; Streptophyta; Magnoliopsida; Asterales; Asteraceae
Exons: 3
Source: RefSeq, a predicted model, not a curated record
CUGCAGCUGUGUUGUCUUUCGGGUUUAGGUCUGGGGAAGACACUUGCUUUUGAUUAUGUAGCAUGAUUGCCGAGACUUUGGUGAUAUUUUUUUGGUGAUAAGUGUAUUCAUGGAAGAAUUGUUCUUACAUCUGAAGAGAAUGCCCCUCGAGUUCACGUUUGUUAUCAUUGCAUGGUUCUACAUGAAUUCAAUCAUGUCAAUCCUGAAGAUUACAAUGAAGUUAAAGACUUUGCAACAACUUGAGUACCUUUGAAAGUAUACCUUAAUUUAUUGGCUAUUGGAUUGGUUUGUGUACUCAUGCUCUGUUCACUAUAGGGUCUUUUAACAGCAGUUAUUGAAGCAUAUAAUAUACUCCCGCAUUUGGGUGUUAUGAAGACACCAAGUUUUAAUAAACUUACUUCAGCUGGUUUCAAAGUCAAAAUCUGGAUAGCGGAUUGGUUUGAUUUCUUAAAAAGACAAAAAGGAUGCGGAUUUGGAAAAGAGACAAACCGUUGGGCGUUACCUCAUUGAGAUAUGGAAAUCAGCCGGGAUGAUUGGUAGGUAUUAAGCCAAUGGUGUCGUUUUUCACCAUUCUUUGCAUUUAAUCUCAAAGAUCUCUUGGGUUUGCAUAAGUAUUUCAAUGGAUGUAAAAAGAAGAAAAAAGUGUUCCAUUCCGUUAUUUUGACGGCUAUUUGGUGCAUUUGGAAUGUGCGAAAUAAUUUGUUAUUUAAUAACAAACCCCUGUCGUUGUCUAGAAUCGUGGAAGAGUCCAAGGUGUUGAGCUACACGUGGGUUAAAGACAGGGCAAAAGAAGGCGGGUCUUACAUGGGAAGGCUGGAGGAGAUUUAUUUUUUUUGGGGAUAUGCAAUUUUCUGUUUUGGUGUCCUGUACCUUCUGUUUGUUUGGAGGUCUUGUAUUGUUUGGCAGUAAUCGUGAUUGAAGCGGACGACUUUCGGUGUCUUUCGAGGUGUCGUUCGUGUAUUUCGGUCAGAUUUCGUUGAUUUUCAGACUGAUUAAGGAUUGU